Molecule: ribosomal RNA, 440 nt
Filed under: uncultured bacterium
Lineage: Bacteria
Description: partial 16S ribosomal RNA
Rfam family: Bacterial small subunit ribosomal RNA
Source: RNAcentral
CCUACGGGAGGCAGCAGUGGGGAAUAUUGCACAAUGGGGGAAACCCUGAUGCAGCGACGCCGCGUGAGUGAAGAAGGAUUUCGGGAUGUAAAGCUCUAUCAGCAGGGAAGAAAAUGACGGUACCUGAGAAAGAAGCCCCGGCGAACAACGUGCCAGCAGCCGCGGUAAUACGUCGGGGGCACUCGUUAUCCGGAUUUACUGGGGGUAAAGGGCGCGUAGACGGCAGCACAAGUCUGGAGUGAAAUGCCGGGGCUUAACCCCGGAACUGCUUUGGAAACUGUGCAGCUAGAGUGCAGGAGAGGUAAGUGGACUUCCUCGUGUCGCGGUGAACUGCGUAGAUAUUAGGAGGAACACCAGUGGCGAAGGCGGCUUACUGGACUGUAACUGCCGUUGAGGCUCGAAAGCGUGGGGAGCAAACAGGAUUAGAUACCCCUGUAGUC